RNA transcript from Caenorhabditis elegans, 1774 nucleotides. It is a transcript of the gene named Non-coding transcript of protein-coding gene M176.9a, with no coding region annotated. The record is from RefSeq and is marked reviewed. The transcript has 8 exons. Lineage: Eukaryota; Metazoa; Nematoda; Chromadorea; Rhabditida; Rhabditidae.
AAUGAGUUUUCAAUCAUUUCUCAAUACGUUCUCACUUUUCGCGACAGAUAUCAGUUUCUACUUAUUGAAACUGAUUCAUAAUAAAAGAGAACCAAAACAAAAAAUAUGGCAAGUAAAGAUGCUCGAUCAUUCGCAUUGUACGUUAACUCAAAACCAAACAAGACAAAGUCAACUUCCAAAAUGAUACCAGCAGCUGUGGCUUCUGGAAGAUCCAGGAGAUCGUCAAUGCUCCCAACCACAGAUGGUCCGGUAGCUGGCUCCAGGAGAGACAAAUUGGAACGAUCUAAAAGAGGGACUAGAGAUCGGGAACGACCAGAGACUCAUUGCUUCUAUCAAUGGCAGGCUCAUUGCAGGCAACCCUUCAACCAACAGAAAAGAGUGCUCGAGGAAAAUCGUCAAGACGGAAAAAGAAAAAACCACAAUGCACAGCUCCCGAGGAAAAGUCUCUAAUGACAUCCGAUAGGGAAUACUUUCCGGUUUUGGAGAAAACGCUUCGAGGAUUCAAAUUUUAUCAUGGGUUUCUGCCACGCGAAGAUCUACAAGCCACGUUGCACAAUCCAGGAGAUUAUUUGAUUCGUGUGUCGGAAGUAGUUGAAGGAGAAAGCAAAGUCGUUCGGGAGAUCAUUUUAUCACUGAUGACGGGCCAUAUGGAAGGAAAACAAAAAGAGAAAAGGAUUCAUAAUGUGGUGAUUAAACGUGUAUCCAACAAGUUUUUCUGUGAAGCAGCACGCCCAUUCGCUACUGUAGCCGAUCUCAUCAACUACUACACAAAGCACACUGGUCAUUGCUCUUCUGGAAAUUUUCAACUGAAACACCCGAUUCUUCAGCAAACAUGGGAAUUCAUGCACUCGGAUGUGACAGUUGGAGAUGUCCUUGGUGAAGGAGCAUUCGGAAAAGUGUGCGCUGGUGAACUGAGGCUCAAAGAUGGAAGUUCAGCAGAAGUAGCAAUCAAGAUGACCAAAGCAUCUGCAUUUUUGAGCAAAAUGAAGAUUAAGGAGAUGAUGAAUGAAGCAAGGUUCAUCAGAAACUUCAAUCAUAAAAACGUCGUACGCCUAUAUGGAGUUGCUCAUGAUGAGCAGCCACUGUACAUUCUACUUGAGUUGGUCAAAGGUGGAUCCUUGCAAGAUUACAUGAAGCAGACGAAAUCGGUGCCCCUGGCGGAUCGAAUCAAUUUUUGUCUUGGAGCUGCAAAGGGUCUUGCGUACUUGCAUCAAAACAAUUGUAUCCAUCGGGACAUCGCCGCCAGAAAUUGUCUUCUUCACGAGAACGAGGUCAAGAUCACCGAUUUUGGAUUAUCUAGAGCUGGACCAUCUUAUACAACAAAGACAUCUUGUAAGAUUCCUAUAAAGUGGCUCGCGCCUGAAACCUUGGCUACUCUGAGCUUCUCAUAUGCAACUGAUGUUUAUAGCUGGGGAGUCACUUGCUACGAAGUCUUCGUCGACGGUGCUGAACCAUUUGAAGGUGUCUCGAAUGCAACUAUCAAGGCUGAUAUCAUGGCUAACAAUUUCUAUCCAAUGCCAUCAAUGACUCCAGACGAAGUAAAAGAGUACAUGAGCAGUUGUAUUUUUGUCGAAGAAUCUCGUCGAGCCACAAUACCAUUGGCAGUUGCAGAAUUUGAACGAUUUGCUCGAAUGUGUGAAGAUGGGACAUUACAGAUGGGAAAAGCGAAAAAUAGGCUUCUGGCAGUUUUCAAAAACAAUAGUGAUAGAAGCAGAAAAAGUCAGAGAAGCAAGAGGACGAAGAAGAAGAAGGAAGUGCCAAAAGAGGAGUGAAC